GACGAACGCUGGCGGCGUGCUUAACACAUGCAAGUCGAACGAAGAGCGAUGGAAGCUUGCUUCUAUCAAUCUUAGUGGCGAACGGGUGAGUAACGCGUAAUCAACCUGCCCUUCAGAGGGGGACAACAGUUGGAAACGACUGCUAAUACCGCAUACGAUCUAACCUCGGCAUCGAGGAUAGAUGAAAGGUGGCCUCUACAUGUAAGCUAUCACUGAAGGAGGGGAUUGCGUCUGAUUAGCUAGCUGGAGGGGUAACGGCCCACCAAGGCGAUGAUCAGUAGCCGGUCGGAGAGGAUGAACGGCCACAUUGGGACUGAGACACGGCCCAGACUCCUACGGGAGGCAGCAGUGGGGAAUCUUCCGCAAUGGACGAAAGUCUGACGGAGCAACGCCGCGUGAGUGAUGACGGCCUUCGGGUUGUAAAGCUCUGUUAAUCGGGACGAAAGGCCUUCUUGCGAAUAGUGAGAAGGAUUGACGGUACCGGAAGAGAAAGCCACGGCUAACUACGUG
This 510-nucleotide ribosomal RNA is filed under the name uncultured bacterium. RNAcentral's name for it is "partial 16S ribosomal RNA". It matches the Rfam family "Bacterial small subunit ribosomal RNA", at positions 28 to 507 of the family's 1533-position model. The record is from RNAcentral.